This 57-nucleotide transfer RNA is filed under the name Gordionus wolterstorffii. Its description in RNAcentral is "tRNA-Phe". Lineage: Eukaryota; Metazoa; Nematomorpha; Gordioida; Chordodea; Parachordodidae. The record is from RNAcentral.
AGAUGUGUAGCUUAUAUUUAAAGUGUAGCUUUGAAGAUGCUAAGAACAAACCAUCUA